This 84-nucleotide transfer-messenger RNA is filed under the name Enterococcus durans. Its description in RNAcentral is "partial transfer-messenger RNA". It matches the Rfam family "transfer-messenger RNA", at positions 287 to 374 of the family's 374-position model. Rfam says of the family: Bacterial tmRNA, also known as 10Sa RNA or SsrA, is named for its dual tRNA and mRNA-like properties. Its role is to liberate the mRNA from a stalled ribosome. To accomplish this part of the tmRNA is used as a reading frame that ends in a translation stop signal. Lineage: Bacteria; Bacillati; Bacillota; Bacilli; Lactobacillales; Enterococcaceae. The record is from RNAcentral.
AAGCGAAUGUAAAGACUGACUAAGCAUGUAGUACCGAGGAUGUAGGAAUUUCGGACGCGGGUUCAACUCCCGCCAGCUCCACCA